RNAcentral lists this non-coding RNA (211 nucleotides) under unclassified sequences. RNAcentral's name for it is "RT-16 RNA". It matches the Rfam family "RT-16 RNA". From Rfam's summary of the family: candidate division DUSEL4 (Archaea). Nearby to self-splicing intron genes The record is from Rfam by way of RNAcentral.
CCAGAGAGAUUUUCUUGCAUGAGCAACAAGAAAGUCAGAUGGACUACACGUCAAUUAAUUAGUGCAUUAUUGAGAUUUAUUUUAAGCCAUAAAAUUCAACAACGACAAUUAGUAACUUUCUGGAAAGUGAAAAUAUGAAGUUGUGGUGCUUCCUUGAAAUUAUAUUAAUAAUUUCUUGAUUAGGAGUGAAAUGGUUAGUUGGCUAUCUUAA